UACGUAGGUGGCAAGCGUUGUCCGGAAUUACUGGGUGUAAAGGGAGCGCAGGCGGGAAGCCAAGUCAGCUGUGAAAACUACGGGCUUAACUUGUAGACUGCAGUUGAAACUGGUUUUCUUGAGUGAAGUAGAGGUUGGCGGAAUUCCGAGUGUAGCGGUGAAAUGCGUAGAUAUUCGGAGGAACACCGGUGGCGAAGGCGGCCAACUGGGCUUUAACUGACGCUGAGGCUCGAAAGUGUGGGGAGCAAAC
Molecule: ribosomal RNA, 250 nt
Filed under: uncultured prokaryote
Description: partial 16S ribosomal RNA
Rfam family: Bacterial small subunit ribosomal RNA
Source: RNAcentral